GUGGGGAAUAUUGGACAAUGGGGGGAACCCUGAUCCAGCCAUGCCGCGUGUGUGAAGAAGGCCUUUUGGUUGUAAAGCACUUUAAGCGAGGAGGAGGCUACCGAGAUUAAUACUCUUGGUUAGUGGACGUUACUCGCAGAAUAAGCACCGGCUAACUCUGUGCCAGCAGCCGCGGUAAUACAGAGGGUGCAAGCGUUAAUCGGAUUUACUGGGCGUAAAGCGCGCGUAGGUGGCCAAUUAAGUCAAAUGUGAAAUCCCCGAGCUUAACUUGGGAAUUGCAUUCGAUACUGGUUGGCUAGAGUAUGGGAGAGGAUGGUAGAAUUCCAGGUGUAGCGGUGAAAUGCGUAGAGAUCUGGAGGAAUACCGAUGGCGAAGGCAGCCAUCUGGCCUAAUACUGACACUGAGGUGCGAAAGCAUGGGGAGCAAACAGGAUUAGAAACCCGUGUAGUCC
This 451-nucleotide ribosomal RNA is filed under the name uncultured bacterium. RNAcentral describes it as "bacterial SSU rRNA". It matches the Rfam family "Bacterial small subunit ribosomal RNA", at positions 354 to 796 of the family's 1533-position model. The record is from RNAcentral.